AUGCGGAACGGGAGCCGGUUGCAGCCGG
This 28-nucleotide unclassified non-coding RNA is filed under the name Mesorhizobium prunaredense. RNAcentral's name for it is "P26". Lineage: Bacteria; Pseudomonadati; Pseudomonadota; Alphaproteobacteria; Hyphomicrobiales; Phyllobacteriaceae. The record is from RNAcentral.